UUUCCAAAAGCAGAGAAAACCUGCCACAAAAGCAGGCAUCUUACAUGAUCCUGUCCAAUCCAUUGGCCAAGGACAGACUGAAAGCCACUGAAGAACCUGCUGUUUACUUGGCAGAUGAGAAUGGACUGGAGAAAGAACCAGAUGUUGCUGCUCUCUUUCGACUCGCCAAUCAUUACUGCUUCCGCAAUUUGGGAUAUUGCUUACCAAGGGAGGAGAGAUGUUACUUUUUUGAUAUAUACUUUGAAACACAUAACAAUUGUCCUGAUCGCAAAAAAAUGAAGUGCUGUAUGAAAUUUUUUUUAACAAUUGUUUUUUGAAAAAGACAAACCAUUAGUCAGACAAAUCAAACCUGGCAAACUGGCUUGCAAUCUGGAAGGAGUUGCUGCAUUUUGUUCAAUACACUGGCUGAUAAGUCACCCUCCUUGA
Long non-coding RNA from Hemicordylus capensis (graceful crag lizard), 426 nucleotides. RefSeq lists it as uncharacterized. NCBI's taxonomy places the organism in Eukaryota, Metazoa, Chordata, Lepidosauria, Squamata, Cordylidae. The transcript is spliced from 3 exons. The record is from RefSeq and is a predicted model, not a curated record.